CCAAAAACAUAGCCCUCAAAACAAUUGAAGGUGAAACCUGCCCAAUGAUUUAAUACACUAAAUUUAAAAAAUUAAAAAAAAAAGAUUAAAUGGCUGCAGUAACCAUGACUGUAAAAAUGUAGCAUAAUAAUUCGCCACUUAAUUAGUGGAUAGUAUGAACGGUUUAACGAAAAUUCCACUGUCUUAUGAAAUAAAAAAAAAAUUUAAAUCAUAGUUAAGAUGCUAUGUAAAACUGUAAGACGAAAAGACCCUAUAAAGCUUAACUAUAUUUCUUAAUAAAUUAAAAAAAAAAUAAAAACAAUUAUUAAUUAAGAUUUGGUAGUUUCAUUGGGGCGAUGGUCUCUAAAAAUAAACAGAGAUAAACCUAUAUAAUAAUAAAAAUUUACUGUAUAAUUAAUAAAUUUAACAGUUACAAAGUAGGGUAUAAUGACCCAUUAUUUUAAUAAAAAAAAAAUAAUGAUCAAUAGAUAAAAGCUACUUUAGGGAUAACAGGAUAAUAAUUUCUUAGAGACCCAAUCGAAGAAAAAGUUUAUCACCUCGAUGUUGAAUUAAGAUAACCUAAUGACGCAGCAGUAAUUAAAGGUAGGUC
This 589-nucleotide ribosomal RNA is filed under the name Lytocarpia phyteuma. RNAcentral's name for it is "partial large subunit ribosomal RNA". It matches the Rfam family "Bacterial large subunit ribosomal RNA", at positions 1807 to 2577 of the family's 2925-position model. The record is from RNAcentral. Lineage: Eukaryota; Metazoa; Cnidaria; Hydrozoa; Leptothecata; Aglaopheniidae.